UAGUUGCAACAAAAAAUCAUACAAUUAAAUUCAAAAAUGAAGUUUCUCAUAGGCAUGGAAAAUUCAUACCAUUUUGGAAUUGGGGAAUUGGUGUCGUUCGCUUUAAAAAUGACGAGUGUAGCGCUGCCGAUGGGUUAUCAGGAACUUGUUACACAAAAAGACAAUGUAGUGAUAUCGAUGGGAUUGCUUCCGGUGGUUGUGCUAGCAAUAUUGGAGUUUGUUGUGUUAUACAACGUUCUUGCGGAUCUACAUCGUCUUAUAAUAACACAUAUUUCGUAAGUUCACCGUCGUUUAAACAAACAACAGGAGCUAAUAAGUGUAUUUAUACAGUACCCAGAUGCGAUUCUGAUA
This is a non-coding RNA of Onthophagus taurus, 351 nucleotides long. The record is from RefSeq and is a predicted model, not a curated record. NCBI's taxonomy places the organism in Eukaryota, Metazoa, Arthropoda, Insecta, Coleoptera, Scarabaeidae.